AGUCCAACAGUUAUAAACGAAACUCAAAUGAGGAAAGUGUACGAUAGAAACGAGGAAAAUAAUUGUAUGUGAAAAAAGUUAUUAAACAACAAUAACAAGUGCUAACAAAACCUAGUAGCAGUGUAUAUGUAUUUAAAAAUCGGCGAUGUGGGGUUUCCAAAGCUAAAAUAAAAUAAAAAAAGUUACAAUAAUAAAAAAAAUAAUAAUAAUUGACGUUGACAUUCAAAUCGACAUAAGCUAACUGAAAUUAAACAGGCUAAACAUACAUAAGUACAUAUUUAUAUUGGUAUGUAUAUUGGUAUGUGCCUUUAUUCAAAUUACUUUGCAUGUGUAUUAGUUAGUCGCUUUGACAUCUAAAUGACAAAAUACAUGCAAAUAUUUAACUCAAAUCAAUAAAAGCUACCAAUAUACCGAAAUUAUGCGCUCUACAAUAAAACAAUAACAGUAAAAACUGGUGCAAAUUAGAAUUAUAAAAAUUCUUUGUGUUUUAGUUGUGAGUAAAUAACACGAAAAACGAUAGAAGGUGUGCUAUAACGGUUAUACAUAUAUUAUAUUUUAAAAAAAGCUAAAACCUAGUGAAAAUUGUCUCAAAUAUUUUCUGUGUGUGCGGGGAAAGUGUUUACUGUUGGAAGAAAUCCGUUUGUGGCAUGUGUUAGCCAAGUCCUGAGAGAUGUUAUAAAUAUUCUCUGUGACUUCGGAAAAUUUAAGGUGUAUAAAAUUGGUUAUAUAUUUUAAGAAAAGCAACAACAAAGUUGAAAUCAGCUAAUAAAUAUUUCUGUGAGUUCGAGGAAGAAAUAAUAUUUAUUUUCUUGCAUUUGUGGAAUGUGAUAGCCAGGACCUGAAAGAUAUUGUAAAUAUUUUCUGUGAGUUCGGCGAAAUUUAUGGUGUUCUAUAACGAUUAUAUAUUUUAAGAAAAGCAGCAGUUGAAAAUCGGCUAAUAAGUAUUUUCACCAAACAAGUUCAUUAGUUACAAUAACCCUUGCUGUAAAUUGCUAAGUCUGAACGUGUUUACCUGCCUGCUGUCUAUCUCAAACUGUUUAUCAAAGCACUUACAUAAGUGCAUAGCUGUGAUAGAUAUACAACAAAAACAAAGUUGUUAGAAAGUAAAAACAAAAACGCCAUAAAUAAUUAACAACAUUAACACUUAAGAAUAUCGGAUUGAUAAAUUGAAAAGGCGUAGUGGAAAUAAAACGCAACAAAAAUGCAUAUAAAACACGGGUGCACAUCGACGCCCUUACUACUGUGGCUAACCGUCAUCACAUUUUCCAUGCUGUACAACAACAUUGCAGGCAUUGAAAUUCCAACACAUUUCCUAUACAAACGCAGCGCUGACGCGGAUACAACGGCGGAGACUGCCGAUGCGGGAGAGCGGGUGCGGACGGACGGCACAAGUGAUGAGAACCUUUUAACCUUCUACAAAGAGCUGGCCAAUGUGACGGAUGUAGAGGAUUUAAUAGAGCGCUUCGUCGAUAAGGAUAGCAUUGAUCCUCAGCUAGGCUUACAAGACACUUUUAGACGCAGCGUAGAGCGCGCUAAUGUACUAACGGCUAAGCCAGCAGCUUGCAUGCCUGAGAGCACCGUUGUACCGCUCAUACCGCUGGAGCCCUCGAAAGAUCCAAAAAUCGACUACUUUCCCAAGUGUACGCGUGUGAAACGCUGCGGCGGCUGCUGUGGCUCACAGCUGAUGUCGUGUCAACCCGUCGAGACGGAGACAAUCAACUUUCAGGUGUUUCCUUUUGAAGUGGUCAGCGGCAGACAAAUGCGCAUUCGUGGCAAGGAUAUUGUCGUCGUGGAACAGCACACGAAAUGCAAAUGCGACUGUCGCAUUAAGGCGGAGGACUGCAAGCAAUAUCAGAGAUAUCGGGCGGACAAGUGCAGCUGUGAGUGUACAAAUGAUGAUGCGUUGCAGAAAUGUUUAGAGCAAGGACACAAAUACUGGGAUGAAACAGAAUGCCGUUGUGUCUGCCGCGACAGUCAGUCCUGUACGACCGGCACAAUAUUUGACGAGAGCCAAUGUGCCUGUAUCGAUAUAAACCAGAUCGAAUACGUGGUGUAAAAUUAGUUGAAAUAGCAAACAGACUAAAAAUUAAACCAAAAGAAAACAAAAUAUUUAAAAAAUAUAUAAUAAACUGAACACUAUAAUAAAUGCAACACUGUGUAUUGAGAACAAAAACUACAAAUGAACACUCAAGAUUUUGAUUAAAAAAUCGUAAACAAUAAUGCAACUAUUGCAAUUAUAUAUUAAAUUUAUGAUACACAGUUACAUAAAACUAUGAGUGUAGCAUGUUUGUAUGUUUACAUAAACUCAUACAAAUAAUAUAAAUGGACUUAAUUAGCACUUGUGAUUCACAUUCUAAAUGAAUAUUACAAAUAAUUAUUACUUGUUUAAGGCAUUUUAAAUGAUUUUUGUCUUGAAAGUAACGAAAGCAUUUUUACGCUAACAUAAAUCACUGACGAUGGCAGCAACUCUAAAAGUGCGAGCUCUAAUUCACCUACACUGCUCGAUCGCCGGCGUUUCAUAGUCAAGGCCAUACCCGUAGAGGUGAAACCGGAUGAUAGCACACGUUAUUUUGUCUAAAAUCGCGAUAAAGGAGAAAACAAAGAAAGUAAAGAAAAUAAAGAAAAAAAGGAGAAAAUAAAUAAAAUAAAAAAACAGAAAACAUAGAAGAAAAAACGGAGAAAACAAAAACAAAGUUUGGAAGAAAGCAUUGAGUGCGAGGCAGUAGUAUGAAUUUAAUGCAUGUUUUAGUGUAAAUAAAAAAAUAAUAAUAUUCAGUA
This is a non-coding RNA of Bactrocera oleae (olive fruit fly), 2778 nucleotides long. The record is from RefSeq and is a predicted model, not a curated record. Lineage: Eukaryota; Metazoa; Arthropoda; Insecta; Diptera; Tephritidae.